AUGUUACUCUUAUUUUCUUGUUGCAGAAACAGCUUCAGUGAUCAGGAGUCCAUAAAAUCAUCAAUGAUCCACAACCAGCCACAAGCCAGGAUGGAAAAGAGUAGCCAUAGAGACAGCUCAGGAAGCAGAAUGAGGUGAUUUACUGUGACAGCCAACCUUAGUCAUUGCCUAUCCACUAUGAGUUUGUGCCCACCCACAUUUUCAGUCCUAGCUUCACCACUGUCCCAGGUGCUCCAAAGAUGCUGCUGGAGUAGAAGACCUGGAUCUGCUGGCAAGGUAAUAUAAACUAAGUAAUUAGUAGGUGGUGAGACCGAGCAAUACUGAGCAUGGGCUGGUCAGUGAUGGUAU
RNAcentral lists this long non-coding RNA (348 nucleotides) under Crocodylus porosus (Australian saltwater crocodile). RNAcentral describes it as "lncRNA (ENSCPRG00005011297.1)". Lineage: Eukaryota; Metazoa; Chordata; Crocodylia; Crocodylidae. The record is from RNAcentral.